Molecule: ribosomal RNA, 465 nt
Filed under: Vreelandella stevensii
Lineage: Bacteria; Pseudomonadati; Pseudomonadota; Gammaproteobacteria; Oceanospirillales; Halomonadaceae
Description: partial 16S ribosomal RNA
Rfam family: Bacterial small subunit ribosomal RNA
Source: RNAcentral
CCUACGGGGGGCUGCAGUGGGGAAUAUUGGACAAUGGGCGAAAGCCUGAUCCAGCCAUGCCGCGUGUGUGAAGAAGGCCUUCGGGUUGUAAAGCACUUUCAGUGGGGAAGAAAGCCUUGGGGCUAAUACCCUCGAGGAAGGACAUCACCCACAGAAGAAGCACCGGCUAACUCCGUGCCAGCAGCCGCGGUAAUACGGAGGGUGCGAGCGUUAAUCGGAAUUACUGGGCGUAAAGCGCGCGUAGGCGGUCUGAUAAGCCGGUUGUGAAAGCCCCGGGCUCAACCUGGGAACGGCAUCCGGAACUGUCAGGCUAGAGUGCAGGAGAGGAAGGUAGAAUUCCCGGUGUAGCGGUGAAAUGCGUAGAGAUCGGGAGGAAUACCAGUGGCGAAGGCGGUCUUCUGGACUGACACUGACGCUGAGGUGCGAAAGCGUGGGUAGCAAACAGGAUUAGAUACCCCUGUAGUC